GCUCGAGUGGCGAACGGGUGAGUAACACGUGAGUAACCUGCCCUUGACUUUGGGAUAACUUCAGGAAACUGGGGCUAAUACCGGAUAGGAGCUCCUGCUGCAUGGUGGGGGUUGGAAAGUUUCGGCGGUUGGGGAUGGACUCGCGGCUAAUCAGCUUGUUGGUGGGGUAGUGGCUUACCAAGGCUUUGACGGGUAGCCGGCCUGAGAGGGUGACCGGCCACAUUGGGACUGAGAUACGGCCCAG
This 244-nucleotide ribosomal RNA is filed under the name uncultured Actinomycetales bacterium. RNAcentral describes it as "partial 16S ribosomal RNA". It matches the Rfam family "Bacterial small subunit ribosomal RNA", at positions 89 to 334 of the family's 1533-position model. The record is from RNAcentral. Lineage: Bacteria; Bacillati; Actinomycetota; Actinomycetes; Actinomycetales.